GGGGAUGACAGGCUUCGACAGCGUGAUUCAUAGGCGCUCUUCGUCUCAGUCCGGGAUCGCAGCAUCUUCCGUCACCCGCUGCUGCACUCUAUAGAUGCCAAAUCAUCUAUUCUUGCGACUGCGCGCAACAUCGUCGGACAGCUUCGGCUGAACGACCUGCAGCUCGUAGCCGCUUAAGUUCCCCUUUAUCCGGGAACGCGUCUCUCCUUCCAUCCUCGCUAAAGGGAUGAGGCGUCAUCAGCGAGGUUGGUCCGCCGCGUGACGCGACGGCGGAUCCGACACUUCGCGUCAACACUCUCCCGACUUUCCUUGUCCCUUCCUUAUGUCAGGAGAGAAUCGGAAAGGACAUGACUCUACGGACAGGACGUCUACACGUUGGACCCGGGUUCAAUUCCCGGCAUCUCCACCA
This 409-nucleotide transfer-messenger RNA is filed under the name Candidatus Peribacteria bacterium RIFOXYC2_FULL_58_10. It matches the Rfam family "transfer-messenger RNA". From Rfam's summary of the family: Bacterial tmRNA, also known as 10Sa RNA or SsrA, is named for its dual tRNA and mRNA-like properties. Its role is to liberate the mRNA from a stalled ribosome. Lineage: Bacteria; Candidatus Peregrinibacteriota; Candidatus Peribacteria. The record is from RNAcentral. RNAcentral also lists the same sequence under 2 other names.